GACGAACGCUGGCGGCGUGCUUAACACAUGCAAGUCGAACGGAAAGGCCCUGCUUUUGUGGGUUGCUCGAGUGGCGAACGGGUGAGUAACACGUGAGUAACCUGCCCUUGACUUUGUGAUAACUUCAGGAAACUGGGGCUAAUACCGGAUAGGAGCUCCUGCUGCAUGGUGGGGGUUGGAAAGUUUCGGCGGUUAGGGAUGGACUCGCGGCUUAUCAGCUUGUUGGUGAGGUAGUGGCUUACCAAGGCUUUGACGGGUAGCCGGCCUGAGAGGGUGACCGGCCACAUUGGGACUGAGAUACGGCCCAGACGCAUACGGGAGGAAGCAGUGGGGAAUAUUGCACAAUGGGCGGAAGCCUGAUGCAGCAACGCCGCGUGCGGGAAGACGGCCUUCGGGUUGUAAACAGCUUGCGCCUGUGACGAAGCGUGAGUGACGGUAAUGGGUAAAGAAGCACCGGCUAAUUACGU
This 467-nucleotide ribosomal RNA is filed under the name uncultured bacterium. RNAcentral describes it as "partial 16S ribosomal RNA". It matches the Rfam family "Bacterial small subunit ribosomal RNA", at positions 28 to 506 of the family's 1533-position model. The record is from RNAcentral.